Non-coding RNA from Gossypium raimondii (Peruvian cotton), 45 nucleotides. The record is from Rfam. NCBI's taxonomy places the organism in Eukaryota, Viridiplantae, Streptophyta, Magnoliopsida, Malvales, Malvaceae.
CCAAUGGAGUUUUUAGACUCCACAAACAGAGUGAGAGGAUUGGCA